This 465-nucleotide ribosomal RNA is filed under the name uncultured bacterium. RNAcentral's name for it is "partial 16S ribosomal RNA". It matches the Rfam family "Bacterial small subunit ribosomal RNA", at positions 338 to 795 of the family's 1533-position model. The record is from RNAcentral.
CCUACGGGAGACAGCAGUAGGGAAUCUUCCACAAUGGGCGAAAGCCUGAUGGAGCAACGCCGCGUGGGUGAAGAAGGUCUUCGGAUCGUAAAACCCUGUUGUUAGAGAAGAAAGUGCGUGAGAGUAACUGUUCACGUUUCGACGGUAUCUAACCAGAAAGCCACGGCUAACUACGUGCCAGCAGCCGCGGUAAUACGUAGGUGGCAAGCGUUAUCCGGAUUUAUUGGGCGUAAAGGGAACGCAGGCGGUCUUUUAAGUCUGAUGUGAAAGCCUUCGGCUUAACCGGAGUAGUGCAUUGGAAACUGGGAGACGUGAGUGCAGAAGAGGAGAGUGGAACUCCAUGUGUAGCGGUGAAAUGCGUAGAUAUAUGGAAGAACACCAGUGGCGAAGGCGGCUCUCUGGUCUGUAACUGACGCUGAGGUUCGAAAGCGUGGGUAGCAAACAGGAUUAGAUACCCUUGUAGUC